RNAcentral lists this long non-coding RNA (1425 nucleotides) under Olea europaea subsp. europaea. Lineage: Eukaryota; Viridiplantae; Streptophyta; Magnoliopsida; Lamiales; Oleaceae. The record is from RNAcentral.
AAAAAAUCUGUUUGUUGGUCGCUGAUGUGGCAGACAGAAUUCCUAGUUGGCAUCUGAUAGCCAUUAACUUGGGAGAAAAAUCCCAUCUUCUACGUAUUCAGCAAAAAUCUUGCUAAAACACGAUAUUGUCCCAUUAGCUUUAAUAAAAAAAGGAGAGGGAGGGAUGUUGCCCCAUCAGCAAAAAAAUCAAUUUUAAUGUCAGUCCAAAUGUCCCCCCUCCCUUUCUUCACUGAUAGCUCCUUGCUACCGUGUCGCCGGACAAAAACCAAAGUCCAGAAAUGUUCUUCCUCCUCGACUACCCACCCCACGCCCACAAAAAACCAAAACCCACCACCCUACAGCCACGUCCAAACACAAACUAAAAUCAUCAAAAUUAUAUUCUUUGCAAUUGGAAAAGAGUUGAAUUGAAAAAAGGAAAGUGGUCGAUGGCGAGGUAAGUGACGAUUAAGAGGUGAAUUUCGUUUGUAAUAGCAGCAAAAUAGUGGUGGAUUGUAAUGUUUCUAUGUCUAGCAAGAUAGAUAAAGCGGGUGGAUGAAUUUUUUGGGUUCAGAUUGUGGUUGAUUGCAGCGGCAGACGAUAGUGGUAGUAGAUUGUGGUUUGAAUUUACUAUGUUUGGGCGGUUGACUUUUGGAUAGCUGAUGGUGGUGAAUAUGUGGUGUUGUGUUACUUAUGUAGGUUGGCGGUUGACGAGGGAGGCCGGCAACAAGUUGAGUUUACCAGAGGUAUAGUGUAGUUGGGUGUCGAUGGAUGUUGGUUUAGGUCUAUUGAUUAUUUUGGUAGAGGACGUCCAUGGUGGCGACGUCGGAGUCAGAGUCGGAGUCAGGUAUGAUAGUGGUGGUGUUUAUAGGAGAUGGGUUGGUUUAGGGUUAGAGUAAUUGGUCUAGCAAAAUCAGCGAUUAGGCUGUUGACCGGAGUAGUUUCUGUGGCAAUGGCGCUUCGAGAAGCAUUUUCAGAUUACAAAAAUCGUUCUCCCCUUUUUCUCCCAAGUUAACGACCGUCAGAUGCCAACUAGGAAUUUCGUUCGCCACGUCAACAACCAACAAACGGAUUUUUUGAUGGUGGAAGAUGGAGAGCUAAAUGGUAAAGUUCAGUGUGUACUGUGAAGCAUAGUGAAGUUUAGUGUGCAAUCUGUGACCAUGGUAUAACUUCAGUGAUUUUUGAAACAAUUCACUCCUCAUUUUCCUUCUAUCAUCGAUUUUCCAAUUCAUUUUUCCUCUCCAAGAUUCGACCUUUCACUCUUCUCUCCCAAACACUCUAAACCGUGAUUUUUUGUUAGCCUUUUUUGGUGUUUUAUCAAAUAUUUGUGCUCUGUAUAAGAUUCUUCUAUUUUUGAACUUCUUGAGGAGAUAGAUACCAGCUAUUGGCACAUAGCUAUAGCAAAAAAUUAGCAUCUUCGAGUGGCUUUCAACGUGUAGAAUAAUCGAA